UACGUAGGGGGCUAGCGUUGUCCGGAAUCAUUGGGCGUAAAGAGCGUGUAGGCGGCUUGGUAAGUCCGCUGUGAAAGUCCAGGGCUCAACCCCGGAAAGCCAGUGGAUACUGUCAAGCUAGAGUCCGGAAGAGGCGAGUGGAAUUCCUGGUGUAGCGGUGAAAUGCGCAGAUAUCAGGAGGAACACCAAUGGCGAAGGCAGCUCGCUGGGACGGUACUGACGCUGAGACGCGAAAGCGUGGGGAGCAAACAGG
This 253-nucleotide ribosomal RNA is filed under the name uncultured bacterium. RNAcentral's name for it is "partial 16S ribosomal RNA". It matches the Rfam family "Bacterial small subunit ribosomal RNA", at positions 524 to 776 of the family's 1533-position model. The record is from RNAcentral.